RNAcentral lists this ribosomal RNA (497 nucleotides) under uncultured bacterium. Its description in RNAcentral is "partial 16S ribosomal RNA". It matches the Rfam family "Bacterial small subunit ribosomal RNA", at positions 28 to 507 of the family's 1533-position model. The record is from RNAcentral.
GAUGAACGCUGGCGGCGUGCCUAAUACAUGCAAGUCGAGCGAACGGACGAGAAGCUUGUUUCUCUGAUGUUAGCGGCGGACGGGUGAGUAACACGUGGAUAACCUACCUAUAAGACUGGGAUAACUUCGGGAAACCGGAGCUAAUACUGGAUAAUAUUUUGAACCGCAUGGUUCAAAAGUGAAAGACGGUCUUGCUGUCACUUAUAGAUGGAUCCGCGCUGCAUUAGCUAGUUGGUAAGGUAACGGCUUACCAAGGCAACGGUGCAUAGCCGGCCUGAGAGGGUGAUCUGCCGCAUUGCAGCUGGGACAAGGACCAGACUCCUACGGGAGGCAGCGGUAGGGAUUCUUCCGCAAUGGGCGAAAGCCUAACGGGGCAAAGCCGCGUGAGUGAUGAAUGUCUUCGGAUCGUAAAACUCUGUUAUUAGGGAAGAACAUAUGUGUGAGAGACUGUACACAUCUUGACGGUACCUAAUCAGAAAGCCACGGCUAACUACGUG